This 585-nucleotide ribosomal RNA is filed under the name uncultured archaeon. RNAcentral's name for it is "partial 16S ribosomal RNA". The record is from RNAcentral.
GAGGCUUCACCCCUGUGGUGCUCCCCCGCCAAUCCUUUAAGUUCAUACUUGCGUACGUACUUCCCAGGCGGCAGACUUNUUAAACGGCUUCCCUGGNNCGGCANNCUGCAUUGGGUCCACAAGCCAAUGCAUCACCGAGUCUGCAUCGUUUACAGCUGGGACUACCCGGGUAUCUAAUCCGGUUUGCUCCCCCAGCUUUCAUCCCUCACCGUCGAGCGUGUUCUGGUACACCGCCUUCGCCACAGGUGGUCUUCAAUAGAUCAAAGGAUUUUACCCCUUCCUAUCGAGUACCGUGUACCUCUCCCACUCCCUAGCUGCACAGUAUUUUCGGCGGCCUAUACGUUAAGCGCAUAGAUUUAACCGAAAACUUAUGCAACCGGCUACGGAUGCUUUAGGCCCAAUAAACCUCCUGACCACUCGAGGUGCUGGUUUUACCGCGGCGGCUGACACCAGAACUUGCCCACCCCUUAUUCACCAGUGAUUCUACAACUGACAAAAGACUCCUUUAGCAGGAGACACUCGGAUUAACCUUGUCGUGCUUUCGCACAUUGCAAAGGUUCUCGCCUGCUGCGCCCCAUAGGGGCU